AAAAUACAAGUACAAAGGGGAGUACAAUGGUGGUCUCUAUACAUGGUAACAAAACUCUCUCUCACCAAAAACCAAAAGAGAGAAUGACCACCUAGGAGCAAAACUGGCUCCACUAGCUAGCUAGGCGAUCUUCUUGCCGCGAUCCCGUGCCUCCACCGGUGUUGAAGGCUCUGAAAUAAAACCAUAAAACAGGGGGCGUGAGAACUAUUAAAUAAUAGUUCCCAGUGGGCAAUUACUGACUUCAGUGAAAUGCGCCACUAGGCCCAAGCGUGAAAAGGGUAAGUAGAUACACGAUAAUUACAAUAAGUAUGUAAAUAG
RNAcentral lists this long non-coding RNA (318 nucleotides) under Ananas comosus (pineapple). RNAcentral's name for it is "long non-coding RNA (ACOM_LNC011869)". The record is from RNAcentral. Lineage: Eukaryota; Viridiplantae; Streptophyta; Magnoliopsida; Poales; Bromeliaceae.